Cavia aperea (Brazilian guinea pig) is the source of this 107-nucleotide small nuclear RNA. NCBI's taxonomy places the organism in Eukaryota, Metazoa, Chordata, Mammalia, Rodentia, Caviidae. The record is from Ensembl.
GUGCUCGCUUCAACAGCACAUAUACUAAAAUUUGAGUGAUACAGAGAAGAUUCGCAUGGCCCCUGCACAAGGAUGACACGCAAAUUCAUGAAGUGUUCCAUAUUAAA